GGAGUAUUGGGCAAUGGAGGGAACUCUGACCCAGCGACGCCGCGUGCGGGAUGAAGGCCUUCGGGUUGUAAACCGCUUUCAGCAAGGAAGAAGCGAAAGUGACGGUACUUGCAGAAGAAGCACCGGCUAACUAUGUGCCAGCAGCCGCGGUAAUACAUAGGGUGCAAGCGUUGUCCGGAAUUAUUGGGCGUAAAGAGCUCGUAGGUGGUUCGUCACGUCGGAUGUGAAAAUCUGGGGCUUAACCCCAGACCUGCAUUCGAUACGGGCGAGCUAGAGUGUGGUAGGGGAGACUGGAAUUCCUGGUGUAGCGGUGGAAUGCGCAGAUAUCAGGAGGAACACCAAUGGCGAAGGCAGGUCUCUGGGCCAUUACUGACACUGAGGAGCGAAAGCGUGGGGAGCGAACAGGAUUAGAUACCCUGGUAGUCCACGCCGUAAACGGUGGGCACUAGUUGUGGGAACCUUCCACGGUUUCUGCGACGCAGCUAACGCAUUAAGUGCCCCGCCUGGGGAGUACGAUCGCAAGAUUAAAACUCAAAUGAAUUGACGG
RNAcentral lists this ribosomal RNA (547 nucleotides) under uncultured bacterium. Its description in RNAcentral is "bacterial SSU rRNA". It matches the Rfam family "Bacterial small subunit ribosomal RNA", at positions 358 to 916 of the family's 1533-position model. The record is from RNAcentral.